AUCCAAUUUUGAUAUUUAUAGGAAGACCACCAGAAACUGCCCAUUCACCCAAAAAGAAGUCUGAAGAAGUCAAAGACACAAACGAUGGUAGUUUUACCGAUGACCCCGUAUGGCAACGUAGACAGGACGAAAAAAACAUUCAAGACGGAAUAAUCAAAGAUAACACUAAGCCAAUGUCGGGUGAAAACAAUUCCGUAGGUGUAGAUAAAGCUGAGGUAAUUAGUAGAUCAAAUCCUUGUACACUUGUAUAUAAACAUUCAAGAGGCUAAACU
Molecule: long non-coding RNA, 272 nt
Organism: Ruditapes philippinarum (Manila clam)
Lineage: Eukaryota; Metazoa; Mollusca; Bivalvia; Venerida; Veneridae
Exons: 3
Source: RefSeq, a predicted model, not a curated record